This 253-nucleotide ribosomal RNA is filed under the name uncultured bacterium. RNAcentral describes it as "partial 16S ribosomal RNA". It matches the Rfam family "Bacterial small subunit ribosomal RNA", at positions 524 to 776 of the family's 1533-position model. The record is from RNAcentral.
UACGAAGGGGGCUAGCGUUGCUCGGAAUCACUGGGCGUAAAGCGCGCGUAGGCGGGUUGGUAAGUCCGCUGUGAAAGCCCGGAGCUCAACUCCGGAGGGUCGGUGGAUACUGCCAGUCUUGAAGGUGCUAGGGGGAGAUGGAAUUACCGGUGUAGCGGUGAAAUGCGUAGAUAUCGGUAGGAACACCAGUGGCGAAGGCGGUCUCCUGGGGCAUUCUUGACGCUGAGGCGCGAAAGCUGGGGGAGCGAACGGG